RNAcentral lists this long non-coding RNA (1873 nucleotides) under Olea europaea subsp. europaea. Lineage: Eukaryota; Viridiplantae; Streptophyta; Magnoliopsida; Lamiales; Oleaceae. The record is from RNAcentral.
AAAAAAACUAAUAAACUCAAUAACCACUUGUGGCUCACUAUAAUCAAAACAUCAAAAAGAAGGCGCAAUAGUGUUAGGUAGCGAACUAACACAUAAUCUAAAAAUUAGGGGUAAAUAGAUUUAAUUAUCUAUAGCUUUAAGCCACUAACAUCUAGAGAGUGAAAAUUGAAAUAGGUACACCUUAGAGAUGACAACAACAGUAACAAAACUAUAGAAAUUCAUAUAUACAUAUAUAUGUUGCAUUCAAACAUAUCUAGAAAAUGUGAUGGAAAUGUCCCGAAGUAUAAUGGCAGGAGAAGACUAAACAAACCUCUCUCAGUACGUCCAAAUCUUCUGAUUGAUGCUUUCUUUCAUAUCCUGGUGGUGGAAAUGGAAAGCAGCGAGACAUUGCACACAAUCCUACAACAAGCAAAAUAAUUACUAUUGUGAAAACAAUAUGAAUGAAUUAUUUUCUCACAAUAGUAUUGUUCCAAUAUGGGAAUGGAACAAUAAUUAUGCUCCUUUCUAUGCACCAUGACCCCACAUUGAGUUCAAGCUUCAAUACUAUUAUCUUCUCUCUACUGGCAAGCCCCAAAAACCCACUUCUUUUAAUUCAUAUUUCACACCACAUGCAUACCACAAUACCACUGUCUUAUAUACACCUCAAUCUUAGCUCCAAUAUGCAAUUGCAGUGUCAAAGAACUGAUCAAACUCAACAGCAAUUUGAAAGACAAAAUAAGUAGCAAUAAAAUUAACACUAGUUUAACCAAUCACCAGAUAUGAGAAACUUAAAUUGCAGCUAAACCAUCCCCAGAAACUAUGUUUAUCCUAAAGGUUUCUUGACAAAGGAAAAGGAAUCACUAAUAAUUGAUUGGAUCAGUCUAACAAGCCAAUGACACUCAAUAAUCACUAUCUUCAACUUGUCCACUUUAUCACCAAAAUUUAACCCCAAAUCAUCCCCAAAUUCAAUCAAACUGCAACAAAAUGGUGGAAACCCUAAAUCGCACUUCUUCAACACAAAAUUACCAUAUUUCCUCUCUUUCUUUUUCUCUUUCCUACCUCGAUCACUGCCUUAAAAUUUAUAUAAACAGUCCUCUUCCAUUCCCUUUAGAAAACAACUAUUCAUGCAAUUGCAAUGCUGGAAGUCAAAGCGGAUUUGAAGCUUGGUUCAUCAGAAGAUAAAAGGCAAAUCCCUUUAAUUUUGCAAUCUUGAGAGUAGUGCUCUCUCUGGAAAAGUCCUUACAUUUCGGAAUGUCAAUUGAAAUCCUAGAUAAAAUCCACCAUCAGCACAACAAUUUCUCAGUACCGAAAACCCCAAAUUCAAAACAUACCCAGAAAAAGGGAGGGAAUGAAAAUCCGCCCCGAUUAGAAGUAGCUAAUUCGGCGGAAUAAAAUAGCGGUUUAGCAACUUUUUAGCAAAACUCCAGAAAAAAAAAUUUCCUUUUGUAAUCAAAUCAAUGUCCAAUGCUCAGGAAAUCAGAGUAAAGACAAAUCAAUAAUUUAAGCUUGGUCGAAUUAAAUUAAGUUAAAAACUAAAAGACAUUAAAUUUAUCUUAUUACCUUGCCCGCUACAAAUUGGAGUGUAUUUGUAGGAAGGGGCAAGAUCUCAGUUUUUUCUUGACAAUAAUAUCAACUAAAUCAUAAAAUCCUCGAACCCACUUUUUUCUGGAUAGAAAUAUGUCUAUAAACACAUAUAAUCGGUGUUUGCACGUAUAAAUCUUUGCUGUUUUCUCUUUAAUGCGCGUAUAUAGGGUGAUAGAGAGAGGCCGGACGGUUUAUUUGGAGAAAUUGGUCAGGGAAACAGCAUAAAAUGAGACGGGGUGAGAGUAGGGAGAAGGCCUACGCUCCUAGUGGCGUCCGUUUGAGGCUCUCUGAACAUACAUUUGGCUAUUUU